GAUAGCACCUAGCACUAUUACUGUAUAGAGAAAUGCUCAUGGGAAAAAAAUCAAGAUUCAAUAAUGCGGUGAUUUAUCAAGACUGUGAAAAUAUACCAAAAGUUGAAGAGCAGCUGAAUUCCAACUAAACAGUACCAUAUGCUGCUAAUUUGCUCAUAGCUGAGUUGGCCAUAAACACAGUGAGAGGAGGAACUGCCAUUUUCCCUUUUAGCUGCGGACCUAAACAUAGUGCUGGAAACAGUAGGCAUU
This is a long non-coding RNA of Homo sapiens (human), 249 nucleotides long. RefSeq lists it as uncharacterized. The record is from RefSeq and is a predicted model, not a curated record. The transcript is spliced from 4 exons. NCBI's taxonomy places the organism in Eukaryota, Metazoa, Chordata, Mammalia, Primates, Hominidae.